Molecule: ribosomal RNA, 284 nt
Filed under: uncultured bacterium
Lineage: Bacteria
Description: partial 16S ribosomal RNA
Rfam family: Bacterial small subunit ribosomal RNA
Source: RNAcentral
CAUCGGCUAACUCCGUGCCAGCAGCCGCGGUAAUACGGAGGAUGCGAGCUUUAUCCGGAUUUAUUGGGUUUAAAGGGUGCGUAGGCGGAUUCUUAAGUCAGCGGUAAAAUGUCCGGGCUCAACCCGGGCCGGCCGUUGAAACUGGGGGUCUUGAGUGGGCGAGAAGUAUGCGGAAUGCGUGGUGUAGCGGUGAAAUGCAUAGAUAUCGCGCAGAACCCCGAUUGCGAAGGCAGCGUGCCGUGCCGCCACUGACGCUGAGGCACGAAAGCGCGGGGAUCGAACAG